This 76-nucleotide transfer RNA is filed under the name Anaerolineae bacterium CG2_30_57_67. Its description in RNAcentral is "tRNA-Trp". It matches the Rfam family "tRNA". From Rfam's summary of the family: Transfer RNA (tRNA) molecules are approximately 80 nucleotides in length. Their secondary structure includes four short double-helical elements and three loops (D, anti-codon, and T loops). RNAcentral also lists the same sequence under 1 other name. The record is from RNAcentral. Lineage: Bacteria; Bacillati; Chloroflexota; Anaerolineae.
AGGCCAGUGGCUCAAUUGGUAGAGCGCUCGUCUCCAAAACGAGUGGUUGUGGGUUCAAGUCCUGCCUGGCCUGCCU